CGUUCCCAUCCCGAACACGGCCGUUAAGGCCCCCUGCGGCGAUGAUACUGCGUUCAAGAGCGCGGGAAAGUAGCGCGCUGCCAACC
RNAcentral lists this ribosomal RNA (86 nucleotides) under Oligosphaeraceae bacterium. Lineage: Bacteria; Pseudomonadati; Lentisphaerota; Oligosphaeria; Oligosphaerales; Oligosphaeraceae. The record is from RNAcentral.